RNAcentral lists this ribosomal RNA (409 nucleotides) under uncultured bacterium. Its description in RNAcentral is "bacterial SSU rRNA". It matches the Rfam family "Bacterial small subunit ribosomal RNA", at positions 355 to 776 of the family's 1533-position model. The record is from RNAcentral.
UGGGGAAUAUUGCACAAUGGGCGCAAGCCUGAUGCAGCGACGCCGCGUGGAGGAUGACGGCCUUCGGGUUGUAAACUCCUUUCAGCAGGGAAGAAGCGCAAGUGACGGUACCUGCAGAAGAAGCGCCGGCUAACUACGUGCCAGCAGCCGCGGUAAUACGUAGGGCGCAAGCGUUGUCCGGAAUUAUUGGGCGUAAAGAGCUCGUAGGCGGUGUGUCGCGUCUGCUGUGAAAACUCAAGGCUCAACCUUGGGCUUGCAGUGGGUACGGGCACACUAGAGUGCGGUAGGGGUGACUGGAAUUCCUGGUGUAGCGGUGGAAUGCGCAGAUAUCAGGAGGAACACCGAUGGCGAAGGCAGGUCACUGGGCCGCAACUGACGCUGAGGAGCGAAAGCAUGGGGAGCGAACAGG